This 95-nucleotide transfer RNA is filed under the name Tilletiopsis washingtonensis. It matches the Rfam family "tRNA". From Rfam's summary of the family: Transfer RNA (tRNA) molecules are approximately 80 nucleotides in length. Lineage: Eukaryota; Fungi; Basidiomycota; Exobasidiomycetes; Entylomatales. The record is from Rfam by way of RNAcentral.
UCUUUGGUAGUUUAGGGGUUAUGACGGGACCUUGUCACUUCGGCAUGUCCAUCGCUUCGGCGGUCCAGACCCGGGUUCGAUUCCCGGCCAGAGAG